RNAcentral lists this ribosomal RNA (492 nucleotides) under uncultured bacterium. RNAcentral describes it as "partial 16S ribosomal RNA". It matches the Rfam family "Bacterial small subunit ribosomal RNA", at positions 30 to 507 of the family's 1533-position model. The record is from RNAcentral.
AUUGAACGCUGGCGGCAUGCUUUACACAUGCAAGUCGAACGGUAACAGGCCUUCGGGUGCUGACGAGUGGCGAACGGGUGAGUAAUGCAUCGGAACGUGCCCAGAGGUGGGGGAUAACGCAGCGAAAGCUGUGCUAAUACCGCAUGUGAUCUGAGGAUGAAAGCGGGGGACCAGGCAGCAAUGUUUGGCCUCGCGCCUUUGUAGCGGCCGAUGUCAGAUUAGGUAGUUGGUGGGGUAAAGGCCUACCAAGCCGACGAUCUGUAGCUGGUCUGAGAGGACGACCAGCCACACUGGGACUGAGACACGGCCCAGACUCCUACGGGAGGCAGCAGUGGGGAAUUUUGGACAAUGGGCGCAAGCCUGAUCCAGCAAUGCCGCGUGCGGGAAGAAGGCCUUCGGGUUGUAAACCGCUUUUGUACGGAACGAAAAGGCUCUGGCUAAUACCUGGGGCUGAUGACGGUACCGUAAGAAUAAGCACCGGCUAACUACGUG